Molecule: ribosomal RNA, 452 nt
Filed under: uncultured Actinomycetes bacterium
Lineage: Bacteria; Bacillati; Actinomycetota; Actinomycetes
Description: bacterial SSU rRNA
Rfam family: Bacterial small subunit ribosomal RNA
Source: RNAcentral
UGGGGGAAUAUUGGACAAUGGGCGGGAAGCCUGAUCCAGCAACGCCGCGUGAGGGAUGAAUGCCUUCGGUUGGUAAACCUCUUUCAGUACCGACGAAGCGCAAGUGACGGUAGGUACAGAAGAAGCACCGGCCAACUACGUGCCAGCAGCCGCGGUAAUACGUAGGGUGCGAGCGUUGUCCGGAAUUAUUGGGCGUAAAGGGCUCGUAGGCGGUUUGUCGCGUCGGGAGUGAAACACCGGGCUUAACUCGGUGCUUGCUUUCGAUACGGGCAGACUAGAGGUAUGCAGGGGAGGAACGGAAUUCCUGGUGUAGCGGUGAAAUGCGCAGAUAUCAGGAGGAACACCGGUGGCGAAGGCGGUUCUCUGGGCAUUACCUGACGCUGAGGAGCGAAAGUGUGGGGGAGCGAACAGGAUUAGAUACCCUGGUAGUCCACACCGUAAAACGUUGGGCG